GAUGAACGCUGGCGGCGUGCCUAAUACAUGCAAGUCGAGCGAACAGACGAGUAGCUUCCUCCUCACACGUUAGCGGCGGACGGGUGAGUAACACGGGUAUAACCUACCUAUAAUACUGGGAUAACUUCGGGAAACCGUAUCUAAUACCGGAUAAUAUAUUGAACCGUAUGGUUCAGUAGUGAAAUACGGUUUUGGUGUCACUUAUAGCUUGAUCCGCGCUGCAUGAGAUAGUUGGUAAGGUAACGGCUUACCAAGGCGACGAUGCGUAGCCGACCGGGGCGGGUGAUCGGCCACCCUGGAACUGAGACACGGUCAAGACUCCUACGGGACGCAGCAGUAGGGAAUCUGAGGCAAUGGGCGAAAGCCUGACGGAGCAAGGCCGCGUGAGUGAUGAAGGUCUUCGGAUCGUAAAACUCUGUUAUUAGGGAAGAACAAAUGUGUAAGUAACUAUGCACGUAUUGACGGUACCUAAUCAGAAAGCCACGGCUAACUACGUG
RNAcentral lists this ribosomal RNA (497 nucleotides) under uncultured bacterium. Its description in RNAcentral is "partial 16S ribosomal RNA". It matches the Rfam family "Bacterial small subunit ribosomal RNA", at positions 28 to 507 of the family's 1533-position model. The record is from RNAcentral.